AGUGAACGCUGGCGGUAGGCCUAACACAUGCAAGUCGAACGGCAGCACAGUAAGAGCUUGCCCUUACGGGUGGCGAGUGGCGGACGGGUGAGGAAUACAUCGGCAUCUACUUUUUCGUGGGGGAUAACGUAGGGAAACUUACGCUAAUACCGCAUACGACCUACGGGUGAAAGCAGUGGAUCUUCGGACCUUGCGCGAUUGAAUGAGCCGAUGUCGGAUUAGCUAGUUGGCGGGGUAAAGGCCCACCAAGGCGACGAUCCGUAGCUGGUCUGAGAGGAUGAUCAGCCACACUGGAACUGAGACACGGUCCAGACUCCUACGGGAGGCAGCAGUGGGGAAUAUUGGACAAUGGGCGCAAGCCUGAUCCAGCCAUACCGCGUGGGUGAAGAAGGCCUUCGGGUUGUAAAGCCCUUUUGUUGGGAAAGAAAAGCAGCAGGUUAAUACCCCGCUGUUCUGACGGUACCCAAAGAAUAAGCACCGGCUAACUUCGUG
This 492-nucleotide ribosomal RNA is filed under the name uncultured bacterium. RNAcentral's name for it is "partial 16S ribosomal RNA". It matches the Rfam family "Bacterial small subunit ribosomal RNA", at positions 29 to 507 of the family's 1533-position model. The record is from RNAcentral.